RNAcentral lists this ribosomal RNA (496 nucleotides) under uncultured bacterium. RNAcentral's name for it is "partial 16S ribosomal RNA". It matches the Rfam family "Bacterial small subunit ribosomal RNA", at positions 28 to 506 of the family's 1533-position model. The record is from RNAcentral.
GAUGAACGCUGGCGGCGUGCCUAAUACAUGCAAGUCGAGCGAACGGACGAGAAGCUUGCUUCUCUGAUGUUAGCGGCGGACGGGUGAGUAACACGUGGAUAACCUACCUAUAAGACUGGGAUAACUUCGGGAAACCGGAGCUAAUACCGGAUAAUAUUUUGAACCGCAUUGUUCAAAAGUGAAAGACGGUCUUUCUGUCACUUAUAGAUGGAUCCGCGCUGCAUUAGCUAGUUGGUAAGGUAACGGCUUACCAAGGCAACGAUGCAUAGCCGACCUGAGCGGGUGAUCGGCCACAGUGGAAAUGAGACACGGACCAGAAUCCGACGGGAGGCAGCAGUAGGGAAUCUUCCGCAAUGGGCGAAAGCCUGACGGAGCAACGCCGCGUGAGUGAUGAAGGGCUUCGGAUCGUAAAACUCUGUUAUUAGGGAAGAACAUAUGUGUAAGUAACUGUGCACAUCUGGACGGUACCUAAGCAGAAAGCCACGGCUAACUACGU